RNAcentral lists this ribosomal RNA (349 nucleotides) under uncultured soil bacterium. RNAcentral's name for it is "bacterial SSU rRNA". It matches the Rfam family "Bacterial small subunit ribosomal RNA", at positions 26 to 377 of the family's 1533-position model. The record is from RNAcentral.
AGAUUGAACGCUGGCGGCAUGCCUUACACAUGCAAGUCGAACGGCAGCACGGGAGCAAUCCUGGUGGCGAGUGGCGAACGGGUGAGUAAUAUAUCGGAACGUGCCCAGUCGUGGGGGAUAACGUAGAGAAAUUUACGCUAAUACCGCAUACGAUCUACGGAUGAAAGCGGGGGAUUCGCAAGGACCUCGCGCGAUUGGAGCGGCCGAUAUCAGAUUAGGUUGUUGGUGAGGUAAAAGCUCACCAAGCCGACGAUCUGUAGCUGGUUUGAGAGAACGACCAGCCACACUGGGACUGAGACACGGCCCAGACUCCUACGGGAGCAGCAGUGGGGAAUUUGGACAAUGGGCG